UACGAAGGGGGCUAGCGUUGUUCGGAAUUACUGGGCGUAAAGCGCGCGCAGGCGGUCUUCCAAGUCAGUGGUGAAAGCCCGGAGCUCAACUCCGGAACUGCCAUUGAAACUGUAAGACUUGAGGAUGAGAGAGGUGAGUGGAAUUCCCAGUGUAGAGGUGAAAUUCGUAGAUAUUGGGAAGAACACCGGUGGCGAAGGCGGUUCUCUGGGCAUUACCUGACGCUGAGGAGCGAAAGCGUGGGGAGCAAACAGG
Molecule: ribosomal RNA, 253 nt
Filed under: uncultured bacterium
Lineage: Bacteria
Description: partial 16S ribosomal RNA
Rfam family: Bacterial small subunit ribosomal RNA
Source: RNAcentral